AUGUUAUCUUUUUCUUCCAUUAGUCAGAUCGCUUCUUCUUCUCUACUUCUCCCCAACUCUUUUUUCUCCUUCCUUUACAUUUCUUCUUCCUGCACAACCCGCUAUGAUCCAGAGGGACCACUUUUUUUGCCCUGUCUCUGCAAAGGAGAUCCACAGUGCACUUUUUUAUACAUCUUUUAUUCCAUUCUGUUCUUCCUUUUUUUCUCGCCUUAUUUGUUUUUAUUUUUCUUUCUACGCCUUCAACCUUUACCUAUUGCCAGGUUCGAAGAGUUUCACUUGACAGGGGCGUCUGUUCCCCAGCCCCACAUUCACCGGGGGAACUCGAGAGCAGAUGACAUCCCUAGCUGUCAGUGUGCUGCCCCAGGUCUCCCCUCAGGGCGAUUCUGUUUCCCCCAGAGCAGGACAGAAGUGUUGAGGAAGUUGGUGGAAAGGAGAUUGCAGGAUGCUGCUGCCAGAGCCGGUGCAGCAGCCGUGCCCCGCCGAGCCCCGCAGCAGCCCAGGGGUGUGUAUGCAGCUGCCUGUCUGCACUUGAAAGAAGUCGUGGGGCUGUGUACACGGUUCCAUCCCAGGCUCUGGGCGUGCACCCUGCACUGGCCAGUGCUAAUAGGCUUUCAUCUCUGCCCAUUUUGUCAACAUCCUCCAGAAAACACGAGUCAACUGACAGAGUGACACUGUUGGAGGACCUAUUCUUGAGAGUACCAAGGGUGUCUGGGUGUCUCAUCUGGCUUCUGACUUUUUUCCCCCACUGAAAAUCAUGAAACAUCAUUACUAUUCACAAGAGUCUGCCUUCAUGUCUUGGGUUUCCAGAAUUUGAAGCCACAUUGAUGUAUAUGUAUAUGUACAAGUGACAAAAGUGCUGUGGUGAGUCUUAUCUGGCAGCUGAAUUGCUGAAUUGCUGAAAAGGAGCAAAAUGAAGCAAUCCAUUUGCUGUAUCUGCAUCACACAACUCCCCAUUCAGGGUUUUUAAAAAGAGCUGUCGAAAGAAAGAGAUCUUUGGGAUCUGCAGAGGUACAUGAAAAGUUGUCUUAUUCCUAAAGAAGCAACCAAAAACAAAGUAAUGAGCAAAACCAAUUUAAAUGAAAUAUGUAAAUAUUGGUUCCUGGACCUUACACAGUCAAUUUACAGAGACAGGCAAGAGAUUAAG
Molecule: long non-coding RNA, 1144 nt
Filed under: Cyanistes caeruleus (blue tit)
Lineage: Eukaryota; Metazoa; Chordata; Aves; Passeriformes; Paridae
Description: lncRNA (ENSCCEG00000010229.1)
Source: RNAcentral